AUGGCGAGCGGCGGCGUGCUGCCAUUGGCAUCGCUGAACCACAUCAGCAUCGUUUGCAGUUCGUUGGAGGAGUCGCUACGCUUCUACAUGAACGUUCUGGGCUUCAUCCCCAUCCGCCGCCCCGGUUCUUUCAACUUCAACGGCGCAUGGUUAUUUAACUAUGGGAUCGGCAUCCACCUGUUGCAAUGUAAAGAGCCACAGAGUUUGCCCGGGAAGACGGAAAUCAACCCCAAGGAUAACCACAUCUCGUUCCAGUGCGAGAGCAUGGUGGCGGUGGAGCGGCGGCUGAAGGAGCUGGGCAUCCCGUACAUCCAGCGGUGCGUGGAGGAGGGCGGCAUCUACGUGGACCAGAUCUUCUUCCACGACCCCGACGGCUUCAUGAUCGAGAUCUGCAACUGUGACAACCUCCCCGUUAUUCCGCUUGCCGAUCAUACCUUCACCAUGGCCGCCUGCAAGAGGGUCGUCGCCGUCAAGCAACAGCAGAAGCCGCUGGUGGUACAAGCUCCUCCCCUGCAGACGACGGCGACAACCACGGCAGCACAGUGCGUGCCGUCAGCUAACAAGGCGAUGCAGCGUGUGGGCGGCGAGGAGGCGGCACACGUCUCGUGCGCGUGA
Molecule: ribosomal RNA, 615 nt
Filed under: Triticum aestivum (bread wheat)
Lineage: Eukaryota; Viridiplantae; Streptophyta; Magnoliopsida; Poales; Poaceae
Description: partial small subunit ribosomal RNA
Source: RNAcentral